GAUGAACGCUAGCUACAGGCUUAACACAUGCAAGUCGAGGGGUAACGAGAGGGAAGCUUGCUUUCCUUGUCGACGACCGGCGCACGGGUGAGUAACGCGUAUCCAACCUGCCCCCAACUAGGGAAUAACCUUGCGAAAGUAAGACUAAUACCCUAUAAUUUCCUCAGAUGUCAUCUGACGAGGAAUAAAGAUUUAUCGGUUGUGGAUGGGGAUGCGUCUGAUUAGCUUGUUGGCGGGGUAACGGCCCACCAAGGCAACGAUCAGUAGGGGUUCUGAGAGGAAGGUCACCCACAUUGGAACUGAGACACGGUCCAAACUCCUACGGGAGGCAGCAGUGAGGAAUAUUGGUCAAUGGGCGGAAGCCUGAACCAGCCAAGUAGCGUGCAGGAUGACGGCCCUAUGGGUUGUAAACUGCUUUUAUACAGGAAUAAAGUUAGCCACGUGUGGUUAUUUGUAGGUACUGUAUGAAUAAGGACCGGCUAAUUCCGUGCCAGCAGCCGCAGUAA
RNAcentral lists this ribosomal RNA (506 nucleotides) under uncultured bacterium. RNAcentral's name for it is "partial 16S ribosomal RNA". It matches the Rfam family "Bacterial small subunit ribosomal RNA", at positions 28 to 523 of the family's 1533-position model. The record is from RNAcentral.